RNAcentral lists this ribosomal RNA (253 nucleotides) under uncultured bacterium. RNAcentral describes it as "partial 16S ribosomal RNA". It matches the Rfam family "Bacterial small subunit ribosomal RNA", at positions 524 to 776 of the family's 1533-position model. The record is from RNAcentral.
GACAGAGGGUGCAAACGUUGCUCGGAAUUACUGGGCGUAAAGCGCGUGUAGGCGGUUCCGCAAGUCAGGUGUGAAAGCCCAGGGCUCAACCCUGGAAGUGCACUUGAUACUACGGAGCUUGAGUACUGAAGAGGAGAGCGGAAUUCCCGGUGUAGAGGUGAAAUUCGUAGAUAUUGGGAAGAACACCAGUGGCGAAGGCGGCUCACUGGUCCGAUACUGACGCUGAGGUGCGAAAGCGUGGGGAGCAAACAGG